ACUGAGGCUGCUCUGGUGACAGUCAAUGCCCACUGCCAGAUUUUGAGUGAGACCAUGUUGGAUCUUCUAGCCCAGCCAACCUUCCAGUUGAAUGCAGACAUGCAGAGAUGGAUUCUUGCUAUGUUGCCCGGGGUAUAGCCUAAAUGUGGCAAGUCUCCCAGGGAAGCUCCACCUCUCAUCCGCCUACUUUGAGCCUACAUUCGGCGCUUAAUUGCAAUCUGAGGAAACCAGGUCCCAGUCUGCUAGACAUUUCUAAGGAAGGGUGCAAUUAAGAGGAGACUGGAGAAUGCAUUGCCAUUUGGAGCGAAAGCCCAUCUCUAUAAUCUUUGCAGAAGCAGCCCUUUCUGAAUCAGACUUGGAUCUUGCCUUUCAUGGCACUACGCGUUGGGCAU
This is a non-coding RNA of Microcebus murinus (gray mouse lemur), 392 nucleotides long. NCBI's taxonomy places the organism in Eukaryota, Metazoa, Chordata, Mammalia, Primates, Cheirogaleidae. The record is from RefSeq and is a predicted model, not a curated record.